Molecule: small RNA, 28 nt
Filed under: Bombyx mori (domestic silkworm)
Lineage: Eukaryota; Metazoa; Arthropoda; Insecta; Lepidoptera; Bombycidae
Description: ovarian small RNA-28667
Source: RNAcentral
UCGCCACUAGUUUUUCUGCGAUGCCAGA